GACGAACGCUGGUGGCGUGCUUAACACAUGCAAGUCGAACGGGAUUUAGUAAACAGAAGCCUCGGUGGAAGAUUACUAAUGAGAGUGGCGAACGGGUGAGUAACUCGUGAGCAACCUGCCUAUGACAGUGGGAUAGCCUCGGGAAACCGGGAUUAAUACCGCAUAAAAUCGUAGAAACACAUGUUUUAACGGUCAAAGAUUUAUCGGUCAUAGAUGGGCUCGCGUCUGAUUAGCUAGUUGGUGAGAUAACAGCCCACCAAGGCGACGAUCAGUAGCCGGUCUGAGAGGAUGAACGGCCACAUUGGAACUGAGACACGGUCCAAACUCCUACGGGAGGCAGCAGUGGGGAAUAUUGCACAAUGGGGGAAACCCUGAUGCAGCGACGCCGCGUGAACGAAGAAGGUAUUCGUAUCGUAAAGUUCUGUCCUAUGGGAAGAUAAUGACAGUACCAUAGAAGAAAGCUCCGGCUAAAUACGUG
This 478-nucleotide ribosomal RNA is filed under the name uncultured bacterium. Its description in RNAcentral is "partial 16S ribosomal RNA". It matches the Rfam family "Bacterial small subunit ribosomal RNA", at positions 28 to 507 of the family's 1533-position model. The record is from RNAcentral.